Molecule: ribosomal RNA, 460 nt
Filed under: uncultured bacterium
Lineage: Bacteria
Description: bacterial SSU rRNA
Rfam family: Bacterial small subunit ribosomal RNA
Source: RNAcentral
GACGAACGCUGGCGGCGCGCCUAACACAUGCAAGUCGAACGAGAGAUGAGGAGCUUGCUCUUCAAAUCGAGUGGCGAACGGGUGAGUAACGCGUGAGGAACCUGCCUCAAAGAGGGGGACAACAGUUGGAAACGACUGCUAAUACCGCAUAAGCCCACGGCUCGGCAUCGAGCAGAGGGAAAAGGAGUGAUCCGCUUUGAGAUGGCCUCGCGUCCGAUUAGCUAGUUGGUGAGGUAAUGGCCCACCAAGGCAACGAUCGGUAGCCGGACUGAGAGGUUGAACGGCCACAUUGGGACUGAGACACGGCCCAGACUCCUACGGGAGGCAGCAGUGGGGAAUAUUGCACAAUGGGGGAAACCCUGAUGCAGCGACGCCGCGUGGAGGAAGAAGGUCUUCGGAUUGUAAACUCCUGUUGUUGAGGAAGAUAAUGACGGUACUCAACAAGGAAGUGACGGCUAAC